Molecule: non-coding RNA, 58 nt
Filed under: Chloropicon mariensis
Lineage: Eukaryota; Viridiplantae; Chlorophyta; Chloropicophyceae; Chloropicales; Chloropicaceae
Source: RNAcentral
UCUGCCUUUUUUUUUCCUUUUUCUUUUUUUCUUCUUAAAGGAGAGUUUUUCUUUCUUU